Molecule: non-coding RNA, 1946 nt
Organism: Oryza sativa Japonica Group (Japanese rice)
Lineage: Eukaryota; Viridiplantae; Streptophyta; Magnoliopsida; Poales; Poaceae
Source: RefSeq, a predicted model, not a curated record
GAUCUGUUAUCUGCUCGUCUCCACAUCGUAAUAUGGCGGCACCCACCAUACUACAGCUCCCCCGGCGGCACCGGGAGAUGAGAGGAAAGCGGAGGAGGCGCUCAGCUGCAUCACCUGCAACCUGCGCUCAGCGACGAGAUUAAUUUCCUCCGUGGGGCAGAGAGGACGGUAGCGGAGGCGGUGCUCGCUCCCUCCCGGUUCCCCCACGACCUGAGCGACUGAUGCGACCUCCUUCCCACUCGUUCAGAUCCCUCCCCUGCAACUUGGUUUGGACGGAUUGCAUCUCUCUCUCUCUCUCUCUCUCUCUCUCUCUCCCCUAUUCCUCUUUUCCCCAAAUUUCUCUCUAUUUUCUACCUUCCUGAGAUUCAUACCGGAGCAUCCUGUCAGCGGCACCCACGACCUUGCCCAGCCGCCGCUGCAUCAAACACUUCCGGCUCCAGCGCAGCCGCGCCUCCAACGUGUGUGCUGACUUCCUCGGAGACAAGAGCUUUACUCUUUACUCUUUAUUAUUAUUAUUAUUAUUAUUAUUAUUAUUAUUAUUAUUAUUAUUAUUAUUAUUAUUAUUAUUAUUAUUAUUAUUGUUCGUUCCUUUACAGAUUUUGCAAGUUUUCCCUUUCAUCGCACAAUCAGUUGAUCUCAGUCAGUAACAUGCUUGUUGGUUGUCCACACAGUUUGUCAAUAUAAGCCUUCUUAAAUUUUUUGAAAGUUCACUGGUCAGAGGCUUUUCACUGACUAAUUAGGUUAGGAACAGCAAGGUACAGAAAUUACUAAAUGGAGUUAGAUUCAGCCAGUGCCCACUGCCUAGUGUUUAUUGAUCAAUUAAUCUACCACCUCCUCUUUGUGACCUCUUGUUUGCUAUUCACAUUCACCCAUAUGGUCACUUACUCACAAAUCUGCCAGCAGCUGAUCUCCCAAAAUAACUGGUGCAUACUAUACUAGCUAGUUAAAGAAGAAUACUUUUGUUGGCAUUGACCACUCUGAUGAUCUCAUUAGUACAUUCCUUGUUGAGGAUCUCGAUUCAUAUAUGAUUCUUGUUGAUAACUUCUAUCAACUUUUUGCUGACAUCAUAGUAAUUUUUAAAAUUUUCAGGUUCAGCAGAGUACUUACUUGCUAGGCUAACAUUUUGCUGAAUUUUCAGGCUCACUAGAGCAGCACAAACGAUUUUCUUUUUAUCGGUACUGGAUCAGAUAGCUGUCACUUUGAUUUUCAUACAUAAGUACAUACUUUUGUGAUCUUUUUCCCAUGUACAAUUCAACAUAUCUAGUUAGAACUUAAUUACAAGGACGUGUCUUACACAUAUGUAUGUCAUCAUUAAUUAAAACCUGUAUGUUCUGUCUCUGAUGAUAUGCACUGGAGACAUAUACCGAUCACAUAGGACAUUGAUUUUGAUUUUUACUUACAUGCCUUAUGAUAUUUCAUUUUGGUAGAUACCAUGUGGGAUAAUAUCAAUUUGGAAACGACAUUUUUUUUCCGAGAUAUCAUUCUACAAAUAUCAUUUGUGUUGUGGCUGGGAGAUUCACCUCCUUCAAUAUAUAACUAAAUUCCAUAUAGGCAUAGGAUGGUGAAAGCCACAGCUUCCCCUCAAUCCCUUAUAAUGGUUGAUCCUACUGCACACAGUUCUUCAGGCUGCUGUCAUCAAGUAAUGCUGGGUUGUGUAAUAGAACAGUGGAAAAUGUAUCUAGUAUAUGAUCCAAAUGUACUAUGAGGAAAAUGUUUGUUGUAUAUAUAAGUAUAUACAUGUAUUUUGCGUCCAAGAUGUGUAUCGGAGCUUAGACGGUUGUCAGCCAUUUUUCUAGUCUAGGGAUGAUAUGUGUAAUUUUUGUGGCAAUCCCUACGUGUGGGUAGAGAUUGAACUGGAGAGAUAUUUUCAAAGUUUGCAUUGAUUCCACGGGGGUGCUGAUUACAUGAGAAUAGAGAUGAUCAAAUAUAUCUUUCUCAUUUCAUCA